This 465-nucleotide ribosomal RNA is filed under the name Vreelandella stevensii. RNAcentral describes it as "partial 16S ribosomal RNA". It matches the Rfam family "Bacterial small subunit ribosomal RNA", at positions 338 to 795 of the family's 1533-position model. The record is from RNAcentral. Lineage: Bacteria; Pseudomonadati; Pseudomonadota; Gammaproteobacteria; Oceanospirillales; Halomonadaceae.
CCUAGGGGCGGCUGCAGUGGGGAAUAUUGGACAAUGGGCGAAAGCCUGAUCCAGCCAUGCCGCGUGUGUGAAGAAGGCCUUCGGGUUGUAAAGCACUUUCAGUGGGGAAGAAAGCCUUGGGGCUAAUACCCUCGAGGAAGGACAUCACCCACAGAAGAAGCACCGGCUAACUCCGUGCCAGCAGCCGCGGUAAUACGGAGGGUGCGAGCGUUAAUCGGAAUUACUGGGCGUAAAGCGCGCGUAGGCGGUCUGAUAAGCCGGUUGUGAAAGCCCCGGGCUCAACCUGGGAACGGCAUCCGGAACUGUCAGGCUAGAGUGCAGGAGAGGAAGGUAGAAUUCCCGGUGUAGCGGUGAAAUGCGUAGAGAUCGGGAGGAAUACCAGUGGCGAAGGCGGCCUUCUGGACUGACACUGACGCUGAGGUGCGAAAGCGUGGGUAGCAAACAGGAUUAGAUACCCGAGUAGUC